UGGGGAAUCUUGCACAAUGGGGGAAACCCUGAUGCAGCGACGCCGCGUGAACGAUGAAGCCCUUCGGGGUGUAAAGUUCUUUCGGCAGGGACGAUAAUGACGGUAACUGCAGAAGCAGCUGCGGCUAACUACGUGCCAGCAGCCGCGGUAAUACGUAGGCAGCAAGCGUUGUUCGGCAUUAAUGGGCGUAAAGAGUGCGUAGGCGGUGGGCUAAGUUUGGUGUGAAAUCUCCCGGCUCAACUGGGAGGGUG
Molecule: ribosomal RNA, 251 nt
Filed under: uncultured prokaryote
Description: partial 16S ribosomal RNA
Rfam family: Bacterial small subunit ribosomal RNA
Source: RNAcentral